RNAcentral lists this small nuclear RNA (335 nucleotides) under Mustela putorius furo (domestic ferret). RNAcentral describes it as "7SK RNA (ENSMPUG00000023542.1)". It matches the Rfam family "7SK RNA". Rfam says of the family: 7SK was discovered as an abundant small nuclear RNA in the mid-70s but a possible function has only recently been suggested. The record is from RNAcentral. Lineage: Eukaryota; Metazoa; Chordata; Mammalia; Carnivora; Mustelidae.
GGAUGUGAGGGCGAUCUGGCUGCGACAUCUGUCACCCCAUUGAUCGCCAGGGUUGAUUCGGCUGAUCUGGCUGGCUAAGCGGGUGUCCCCUUCCUCCCUCACCGCUCCAUGUGCGUCCCUCUCGAAGCUGUGCGCUCGGUCGAAGAGGACGACCUUCCCCGAUAGAGGAGAGGACCGUUCUUCGGUCAAGGGUAUACGAGUAGCUGCGCUCCCCUGCUAGAACCUCCAAACAAGCUCUCAAGAAAUAACCAAUCAUAUCAGGAACAUACAAAAGAGACAAAUAAGCAAAACCUGCUGAUUACCAUCAGAGACAUAAUUUCUCUCAAGAAAUUUUU